AUCGACUAUCAGUUAGUUGGUAGUGUAAUGCGACUACCAAGACGAUGACGGGUAACGGGGAAUCAGGGUUUGAUACCGGAGAGGGAGCCUGAGAGAUUAGCUCCCACGUCCAUGGACGGCAGCAGGCGCGAAAAUUGCCCACUCUUUGUAGGAGGCAGUUAUGAGACGUGAAAUUGAAGAUUUUGUAAAGAAGAAUAGGAGAAUUGGAGGGCAAGUUUGGUGCCAGCCGCCGCGGUAAUACCGACUCCAAGAGUGUGUAUGAGAGAUGCUGCAGUUAAAAAGUCCGUAUGUCAUAGAAAGAUAAAUAGGGAUGAGAAGUCUCUUAAAUUAGCUAUAGAAAAGCCGAUGGGGAACAUAGUAUACCAGGGCGAGAGAUGAAAUGCCAAGACCCCUGGUGGACUAAGCGAGGCGAAAGCGAUGUUCUUGUAGGUAUUUGAUGAUCAAGGACGAAGGCUGGAGUAUCGAAAGUGAUUAGAUACCGCAGUAGUUCCAGCUGUAAAAGAUGCCGACAUGUUCAUUGGCCACA
Molecule: ribosomal RNA, 526 nt
Filed under: Microsporidium sp.
Lineage: Eukaryota; Fungi; Microsporidia
Description: SSU rRNA
Rfam family: Microsporidia small subunit ribosomal RNA
Source: RNAcentral